RNAcentral lists this transfer RNA (57 nucleotides) under Toxocara canis (dog roundworm). It matches the Rfam family "tRNA", at positions 8 to 63 of the family's 71-position model. From Rfam's summary of the family: Transfer RNA (tRNA) molecules are approximately 80 nucleotides in length. Their secondary structure includes four short double-helical elements and three loops (D, anti-codon, and T loops). Lineage: Eukaryota; Metazoa; Nematoda; Chromadorea; Rhabditida; Toxocaridae. The record is from Rfam by way of RNAcentral.
UGGCGCAGCUGUAGCGCAUCUGACUCCUGAUCAGAAGUUUGCGUGUUCAACUCAUGU